GAGGAAAGUCCGGGCUCGGAAGGGCUCGAUGCCGGAUAACGUCCGGGGCAGAGGAGUGUUUGCGGUUCCGCAUCUGCGGGCCAUAAAUCCUUCUUUGUACAGAAAGUGCCACAGAAAACAUACCGCCGCCUAACGCGGUAAGGGUGAAAAGGUGAGGUAAGAGCUCACCGCAUUUCCAGUAAUGGGAAUGGCAUGGCAAACCUCAUCGCGAGCAAGGUCAAACAGCGAUGGAUUGCCCGUCC
RNAcentral lists this unclassified non-coding RNA (242 nucleotides) under uncultured spirochete. RNAcentral's name for it is "RNaseP_bact_a". It matches the Rfam family "Bacterial RNase P class A", at positions 43 to 262 of the family's 367-position model. From Rfam's summary of the family: Ribonuclease P (RNase P) is a ubiquitous endoribonuclease, found in archaea, bacteria and eukarya as well as chloroplasts and mitochondria. Its best characterised activity is the generation of mature 5'-ends of tRNAs by cleaving the 5'-leader elements of precursor-tRNAs. The record is from RNAcentral. Lineage: Bacteria; Pseudomonadati; Spirochaetota; Spirochaetia; Spirochaetales.